RNAcentral lists this ribosomal RNA (258 nucleotides) under uncultured bacterium. RNAcentral's name for it is "partial 16S ribosomal RNA". It matches the Rfam family "Bacterial small subunit ribosomal RNA", at positions 524 to 778 of the family's 1533-position model. The record is from RNAcentral.
UACGGAGGGGGUUAGCGUUGUUCGGAAUUACUGGGCGUAAAGCGCACGUAGGCGGAUCAGAAAGUUGGGGGUGAAAUCCCGGGGCUCAACCCCGGAACUGCCUCCAAAACUCCUGGUCUUGAGUUCGAGAGAGGUGAGUUGGAAUUCCGAGUGUAGAGGGUGAAAAUUUCGUAGAUAUUCAGAGGAACACCAGUGGCGAAGGCGGCUCACUGGCUCGAUACUGACGCUGAGGUGCGAAAGUGUGGGAGCAAACAGGAU